RNAcentral lists this ribosomal RNA (498 nucleotides) under uncultured bacterium. RNAcentral describes it as "partial 16S ribosomal RNA". It matches the Rfam family "Bacterial small subunit ribosomal RNA", at positions 28 to 507 of the family's 1533-position model. The record is from RNAcentral.
GAUGAACGCUGGCGGCGUGCCUAAUACAUGCAAGUCGAGCGAACAGAUGAGGAGCUUGCUCCUCUGACGUUAGCGGCGGACGGGUGAGUAACACGUGGAUAACCUACCUAUAAGACUGGGAUAACUUCGGGAAACCGGAGCUAAUACCGGAUAAUAUAUUGAAACACAUGGUUCAAUAGUGAAAGACGGUUUUGCUGUCACUUAUAGAUGGAUCCGCGGUGCAUUAGCUAGUUGGGAAGGUAAAGGCUUACCAAGGCAAUGAUAAAUAGCCGACCUGGGGGGGAGAGCGGCCACAGUGGGACUGAGACACGGCAGAAACGGCUACGGGAGGCAGCAGUAGGGAAGCGUAGGGAAUGGACGAAAGUCUGACCGAGCAAAGCAGCGUGAGUGAAGAAGGUUGUCGGAUCGUAAAACUCUGUUGGUAGAGAAGAACGUUGGGGAGAGUGGAAAGCGCAUCAAGUGACGGUAACUACCCAGAAAGGGACGGCUAACUACGUG